CGUGUAGGCGGUCUGAUUAGUCUGAUGUGAAAGCCCUGGGCUCAACCCAGGAAGUGCAUUGGAUACUGUCAGACUUGAAUACGGGAGAGGGUAGUGGAAUUCCUAGUGUAGGAGUGAAAUCCGUAGAUAUUAGGAGGAACACCGGUGGCGAAGGCGGCUACCUGGACCGAUAUUGACGCUGAGACGCGAAAGCGGUGGGUAGCAAACAGGAUUAGAUACCCUGGUAGUCCACGCCGUAAACGAUGAGUACUAGGUGUUGCGGGUAUUGACCCCUGCAGUGCCGCAGCUAACGCAUUAAGUACUCCGCCUGGGAAGUACGGUCGCAAGACUAAA
This 333-nucleotide ribosomal RNA is filed under the name uncultured bacterium. Its description in RNAcentral is "bacterial SSU rRNA". It matches the Rfam family "Bacterial small subunit ribosomal RNA", at positions 568 to 898 of the family's 1533-position model. The record is from RNAcentral.